CGGCAGCAGCGAAGUGUGAGCGCGUGCACGGCUACAGAGCACGACCUCCCCUCUCCUCCCUCUCCGCUUGCCCGGCGUUCUCUCUCGCCUGCACAGCGCACCGACUGGGAGAACAAUCGCGAGCGCCAAUCGUCGUCGCUGGGCGUCUCCAGGUAACUCCCCCUACCCAGCGGCGGGCUCCUCCAUCAUGAGCGAGUUCCAGCGCAUCCUCAGCCCGGCGCAGCUCACGAAGCACUAUGAGGUGCUACAGUUUCUCAGCCGCCACCCGAACCAGCCGUACACGCUGGCGCAAUUGGACUCUCUCCUGCCGCGCGGUGUGGCAGUGCAGCGCUUUCCAGCGGAAUGGUUCGCGCUCGUGGAGGACGGCGCCUGCUGGCACCGCAGCAUUGAGCUGCAUCGCACCCACAGCACUGCCACCACCGCCUCUUCCCCAGCGUCGUCCACGCCAACAGCGGAGGAGCGGGCCCGGUAUGUGCUGCUGUGUGCCCGUGCCGUGGUCAACACACUGGAUGAGCUGUGCGCGCGCAUCGAGUCUCCGUCCACGCUGCUGGACCCGGAAGGCUGCGUCGCACUGCACACCGAUCAAAUCGUCGUCUCAGCAGCGCUUAUCCGGCGAGCGGUUCACAUGGGGCUAGUCUACUACUUCCCUGACACGUACGACAAGUCGGAGUUCAAGCAGUUUGGCAUGCGAGACGCUUCAUCUUCGGCCAGUGGUGGCACGGCGGCGGGACCUGGCCCAGAUGGGGGCACAGGCAGCGGUGGCGGCGGCAGUCGAGCGAACAUCGGGCAAGUGACCGCGUCUCUGCGGGAGUCUUUCCUAGAACGCGAUGAGGCCUAUGGCGGAGGGAACAACGUUGGCGGUGACCGCACCUACAUUGCCCUUCCACCCGGUGUCUGCGUACAGCAUCGCCUGCUCACCCGCCGCGGUGUGCCCGAGCAGGAGGCGCACUCGCUGCCGACGCGUUUCUACGUGGGGGAGCGGGUGCUCCUCCUCUUCGACAACCUGGUCGCCGUGAAGAAGUUGGGGCUGCCAAACAAGCUGCGCGUCGAGUGGUCACUGGCAGGCGUGAGGCUGAAAAACACGGGUGACACCGGCCAGGCAACCGGGGAGGGGGGGACAAGCCGACUGGAGGCGCUUGCCGCAGCGCAACCGCAACCGCUCCGGAUACGCCGCGAGAACGUUGCGGUGCGCAACACAUCGGCGACGACGACCUCCGCUGCUAUGGAUGCGCCAGCGCCAAUCUUUGCCAGCACCAAGGUCAAGGUGGAGAUCGAGGCGGUGCAGGCCUGCACGCUCAAGCUGAUCCUCACUGUGAACGGCCUGGAGAAUGUGCUGAAUCUCGAAGUGCAAGAGAGCGCUGUGAGCCUGCCGGGCGUACUCGUGCUGCGCGACCGCCACCUGGACAGCUUCGCCCUACCAGAGAAGAGCAUCCUUGAGGACCCUAUUGUGAACCCCUCGCCUUCAUGGCGGUACCCGUAUGAGUCGGUGCUGCACGCCGCGAGUUCAUCGUCGUCCGGGGAGUGCAGCGACGACACAGCGGCUCAGUGGGCGACUGCAGCUGCCGAGCCGUGGACAGAGCUUGUUCCUCUCCCUUGGACACAGAACCCAUCUCCGGCUGUGCUGGCGCUGCGGGAGGCGACCUACCCGACCCAGGACGUCACCGUCCGCGCCGCCACCCGCGCCGUCUUCUCCGCGCAGUCCCUGGCUGACGAGGCGCGGCUGCGACAGACGAAGGAGCGCAUGCGUCGCGAGACCGACGCUCGCGCCGGCACCGGCGGGGGCGGAAAGCGGCGGCGACGACAGCAGCCCCGCAGCAGCUUGGUGCUCAGCAACCGCCAUCUCCUCCACUUUGGCCUUGACUUCUCCAUCCCCUUUGUGAAUCGGCGCGAUUAGGACGUUAUCCCAAGCACCGACCGCGUGUAGACUUGUGUGCGUGAGCAACGGUGUCUCGCGAGUUGCUGCUGCUGCCGCCGUCGCGGCGACUCCGUUCUCUCGAACUCGCUUCUUCCCUCGAUUCUCCGGCGGCUCUCCCUCUCUGUCCGCCGUCAGGAUUUUGCUGGGCGCACGCCGAACGCGUGAGAGGCAGAAGGCACGAGCUCGAAAGCCAAACACACGCGUAGGGGAAAAGAGCGUCUCGGCAAGACACGUCUGUGCACGACUUGCAAUGCGCCUCCCCUUAUACACACACACACACCUGUGACUCUAGCGUGUGUGAAAGCUAUCUGAUGCGUGCAGGUGCUUCACAUACCCCCUCCCCAUCCCCUUCUACUGCCCUCCACGGCCUCCUUGCGCUGGAGAGGGACUUCGCAUCAAACCCGAACGGAGAGAGGGACGUGUGAGGGUAGUCGUGAGUGCCGGCGGCUCUGCCGCUUCUGCUAAACGUGGCCGUCCCUGCUACUCAUCUUGAAUCGAUCACGCUUGUCUGCUCCGCCUGUCUCUCUCGCUCCCCUCUGUCCACCUCACCUCCGCACACCUGGGAACCUUUGACGGCUGCUCGCACCUGCUCCGUUGGUGAUUAUUGGCUGACAAUGACGAUGCCAAUGAGGCAACCGAUAG
Molecule: unclassified non-coding RNA, 2557 nt
Filed under: Leishmania donovani
Lineage: Eukaryota; Euglenozoa; Kinetoplastea; Trypanosomatida; Trypanosomatidae
Description: gene:LdHU3.20.0550(CDS-product:TFIIH_basal_misc_R NAion_factor_subunit_putative)
Source: RNAcentral